AAGUGGUAGUUGAGGAUAGUCAUUUCCGACUGACAUGUGUCAACAUGAUUUGAAUUAGCAAGUCAGUUCCUAAGGGCUGAGAUUGCAUUUUUUUUAUUUGGCUGUAUUUGUGUCUGGUAGGUCCAACAUGGUUCCUCUAUCAGAGCGAGGCCUUUAUGCUCUAUCUUUACAAUACUUUCUACGUUCAUGAAACAGUAUCCCCACCUUUGUUACCAUUGCACGUCUUGAUUUCAAUCAAACUCACGACCGAAUCAUUUGUCUAAAAGCUACAUUAUUUUGAAAUUGCCUCUUUUGCAAACACUGAUAACUAUUAGACCAUGCUUAGGUACUCUGACAGUUCAUUAUUAUGUUUAAUACUACCUUCUACGGUUUCCAUCAAUCAAUGUUAAUGGUUCCUAUGAAAAAACAAGAGACAUCGCAA
This 421-nucleotide small RNA is filed under the name Histoplasma capsulatum. RNAcentral's name for it is "hypothetical RNA". RNAcentral also lists the same sequence under 1 other name. Lineage: Eukaryota; Fungi; Ascomycota; Eurotiomycetes; Onygenales; Ajellomycetaceae. The record is from RNAcentral.